ACGUUGUAUGAAAGUAGGGAAGGUUAUCUAUUGUUUCCCUUGACAAGGAGGGAAGAGGCUUCUGCCUGAAACACACAUGCGGUUUUUAGCCUAUAGUUUCAUUUAUUUUUUUGAAGAUUUAUUUUA
This is a small nuclear RNA of Talpa occidentalis (Iberian mole), 126 nucleotides long. Lineage: Eukaryota; Metazoa; Chordata; Mammalia; Eulipotyphla; Talpidae. The record is from RefSeq and is a predicted model, not a curated record.